GUAUAAGCAAUUAUACAGCGAAACUGCGAAUGGCUCAUUAAAUCAGUUAUCGUUUAUUUGAUAGUACCUUACUACAUGGAUAACCGUGGUAAUUCUAGAGCUAAUACAUGCUAAAAAUCCCGACUUCGGAAGGGAUGUAUUUAUUAGAUUAAAAACCAAUGCCCUUCGGGGCUCUCUGGUGAUUCAUAAUAACUUCUCGAAUCGCACGGCCUUGCGCCGGCGAUGGUUCAUUCAAAUUUCUGCCCUAUCAACUUUCGACGGCUGGGUCUUGGCCAGCCGUGGUGACAACGGGUAACGGAGGGUUAGGGCUCGACCCCGGAGAAGGAGCCUGAGAAACGGCUACUACAUCCAAGGAAGGCAGCAGGCGCGCAAAUUACCCAAUCCCGACACGGGGAGGUAGUGACAAUAAAUACUGAUACAGGGCUCUUUCGGGUCUUGUAAUUGGAAUGAGUACAAUUUAAAUCCCUUAACGAGGAACAAUUGGAGGGCAAGUCUGGGC
RNAcentral lists this ribosomal RNA (499 nucleotides) under Acremonium sp. SS_NXB1. Its description in RNAcentral is "SSU rRNA". It matches the Rfam family "Eukaryotic small subunit ribosomal RNA", at positions 63 to 571 of the family's 1831-position model. Lineage: Eukaryota; Fungi; Ascomycota; Sordariomycetes; Hypocreales; Bionectriaceae. The record is from RNAcentral.